AUACUUACUUUCGGAUGCGGUUUCGAGGAUCAAGAACUUCGAUCCGCCGUGUGAAGGUCUGGCCAUUGCACAUCGGUCUACGGCUGACGUACGCUUUCUAUUCACAUGAAUAGAAGAGAUCCGCUAAUUUCUUGACGCUGGCUUGCGUUCGCGCAGGCCAUU
RNAcentral lists this small nuclear RNA (162 nucleotides) under Adineta vaga. RNAcentral describes it as "U1 spliceosomal RNA". It matches the Rfam family "U1 spliceosomal RNA". From Rfam's summary of the family: U1 is a small nuclear RNA (snRNA) component of the spliceosome (involved in pre-mRNA splicing). Its 5' end forms complementary base pairs with the 5' splice junction, thus defining the 5' donor site of an intron. The record is from RNAcentral. Lineage: Eukaryota; Metazoa; Rotifera; Eurotatoria; Adinetida; Adinetidae.